Molecule: ribosomal RNA, 258 nt
Filed under: uncultured bacterium
Lineage: Bacteria
Description: partial 16S ribosomal RNA
Rfam family: Bacterial small subunit ribosomal RNA
Source: RNAcentral
GUCCACGCCGUAACGAUGAGAACUAGACGUCGGAGGGUCUGCUCUUCGGUGUCGUAGCUAACGCGCUAAGUUCUCCGCCUGGGGAGUACGGCCGCAAGGUUGAACUCAAGGAAUUGACGGGGCCCGCACAAGCGGUGGAGCAUGUGGUUUAAUUCGAUGCAACGCGAAGAACCUUACCUGGUCUUGACAUCCUAGGAAUCCUGCAGAGAUGCGGGAGUGCCUUCGGGAACCUGGAGACAGGUGCUGCAUGGCUGUCGU